GGGCAGUGAUGGGAAUUUAGAAUGGAUUACACUUUACUCCACAUGCUCAAGAUUUCAUUUGAGAUGGAAGCUGAUGGUGUCAUUCACAACUUCAUCCCCUCUUUUGAAUGCAAAUAGCUAUCAUCAGCAGAAACCAGAGGAAAAGGACAGUAACUGGUCAGUGGCUUCAUGUGAGGACAAGGGACUUUGAAGGAGUGAAAUGAAACUAGACAGUUGACACAACAAAGAAUAUGCAGAGUAAAAACAGUCCUGGCAAUAGAAAAUAUACACUACUCUGCUCAUCCA
Molecule: long non-coding RNA, 285 nt
Organism: Vidua chalybeata
Lineage: Eukaryota; Metazoa; Chordata; Aves; Passeriformes; Viduidae
Exons: 3
Source: RefSeq, a predicted model, not a curated record